UAUGGGGAUACAUGUGUAGGC
Molecule: unclassified non-coding RNA, 21 nt
Filed under: Chlamydomonas reinhardtii
Lineage: Eukaryota; Viridiplantae; Chlorophyta; Chlorophyceae; Chlamydomonadales; Chlamydomonadaceae
Description: small RNA Cre_2400
Source: RNAcentral